Molecule: ribosomal RNA, 445 nt
Filed under: uncultured bacterium
Lineage: Bacteria
Description: partial 16S ribosomal RNA
Rfam family: Bacterial small subunit ribosomal RNA
Source: RNAcentral
GUAGGGAAUAUUGGGCAAUGGAUGCAAGUCUGACCCAGCCAUCCCGCGUGCCGGAAGAAGGCCCUCAGGGUUGUAAACGGCUUUUGACGGUGAAGAAUCGACAGGAUGCGUCCUGUUUUGACGGUAGCCGUUGAAUAAGCACCGGCUAACUCCGUGCCAGCAGCCGCGGUAAUACGGAGGGUGCGAGCGUUGUCCGGAUUUAUUGGGUUUAAAGGGUGCGUAGGCUGGAAGGUCAGUCAGCGGUGAAAAGCUGUCGCUGAACGAUAGUAUUGCCGCAUAUACUUCCUUUCUUGGAUGAGGAGUAGGCCACUGGAGCGGAUGGUGUAGCAGUGAAAUGCAUAGAUAUCAUCCAGAACACCGAUUGCGAAGGCAGGUGGCUGUACCUUAAUCGACGCUGAUGCACGAAAGCAUGAGGAGCAAACAGAAUUAGAAUCCCGUGUAGUCC